RNAcentral lists this ribosomal RNA (253 nucleotides) under uncultured bacterium. RNAcentral's name for it is "partial 16S ribosomal RNA". It matches the Rfam family "Bacterial small subunit ribosomal RNA", at positions 524 to 776 of the family's 1533-position model. The record is from RNAcentral.
UACGUAGGGUGCGAGCGUUGUCCGGAAUUAUUGGGCGUAAAGAGCGCGCAGGCGGUCGUUCAAGUCGCGUGUGAAAGCCCCCGGCUCAACUGGGGAGGGUCACGCGAUACUGAUCGACUGGAAGGCAGGAGAGGGUAGUGGAAUUCCCGGUGUAGUGGUGAAAUGCGUAGAUAUCGGGAGGAACACCAGUGGCGAAGGCGACUACCUGGCCUGUUCUUGACGCUGAGGCGCGAAAGCUGGGGGAGCAAACGGG